Molecule: small nucleolar RNA, 126 nt
Organism: Marmota monax (woodchuck)
Lineage: Eukaryota; Metazoa; Chordata; Mammalia; Rodentia; Sciuridae
Product: small nucleolar RNA SNORA40
Exons: 1
Source: RefSeq, a predicted model, not a curated record
UGCUUUUGUGUGUUUUUCAUUUAACUCAUGGACAAACUUAUAAACAGGUGCAAAUAUUAAACCUCUUUUUUGCAAUCUAAAACUCAUUGUUCAGUAUGAGUCUUGAUACAUAUAAGAAAGAAUAUU